Molecule: ribosomal RNA, 1329 nt
Filed under: uncultured bacterium
Lineage: Bacteria
Description: bacterial SSU rRNA
Rfam family: Bacterial small subunit ribosomal RNA
Source: RNAcentral
GAUGAACGCUGACAGAAUGCUUAACACAUGCAAGUCUACUUGAUCCUUCGGGUGAUGGUGGCGGACGGGUGAGUAACGCGUAAAGAACUUGCCCUGCAGUCUGGGACAACAUUUGGAAACGAAUGCUAAUACCGGAUAUUAUGCGAGAUUCGCAUGUUUCUCGUAUGAAAGCUAUAUGCGCUGCAGGAGAGCUUUGCGUCCUAUUAGCUAGUUGGUGAGGUAACGGCUCACCAAGGCGAUGAUAGGUAGCCGGCCUGAGAGGGUGAACGGCCACAAGGGGACUGAGACACGGCCCUUACUCCUACGGGAGGCAGCAGUGGGGAAUAUUGGACAAUGGACCAAAAGUCUGAUCCAGCAAUUCUGUGUGCAUGAUGAAGUUUUUCGGAAUGUAAAGUGCUUUCAGUUGGGACGAAGUAAGUGACGGUACCAACAGAAGAAGCGACGGCUAAAUACGUGCCAGCAGCCGCGGUAAUACGUAUGUCGCAAGCGUUAUCCGGAUUUAUUGGGCGUAAAGCGCGUCUAGGCGGUUUGGUAAGUCUGAUGUGAAAAUGCGGGGCUCAACUCCGUAUUGCGUUGGAAACUGUCAAACUAGAGUACUGGAGAGGUGGGCGGAACUACAAGUGUAGAGGUGAAAUUCGUAGAUAUUUGUAGGAAUGCCGAUGGGGAAGCCAGCCCACUGGACAGAUACUGACGCUAAAGCGCGAAAGCGUGGGUAGCAAACAGGAUUAGAUACCCUGGUAGUCCACGCCGUAAACGAUGAUUACUAGGUGUUGGGGGUCGAACCUCAGCGCCCAAGCUAACGCGAUAAGUAAUCCGCCUGGGGAGUACGUACGCAAGUAUGAAACUCAAAGGAAUUGACGGGGACCCGCACAAGCGGUGGAGCAUGUGGUUUAAUUCGACGCAACGCGAGGAACCUUACCAGCGUUUGACAUCCUAGGAAGUUGGCAGAGAUGCCUUCGUGCCCCUUCGGGGGAACCUAGUGACAGGUGGUGCAUGGCUGUCGUCAGCUCGUGUCGUGAGAUGUUGGGUUAAGUCCCGCAGCGAGCGCAACCCCUUUCGUAUGUUGCCAUCAUUAAGUUGGGAACUCAUGCGAUACUGCCUGCGAUGAGCAGGAGGAAGGUGGGGAUGACGUCAAGUCAUCAUGCCCCUUAUACGCUGGGCUACACACGUGCUACAAUGGGUAGUACAGAGAGUCGCUAACCUGCGAGGGGGAGCUAAUCUCAGAAAACUAUUCUCAGUUCGGAUUGUACUCUGCAACUCGAGUACAUGAAGUUGGAAUCGCUAGUAAUCGCAAAUCAGCUAUGUUGCGGUGAAUACAUUCUCGGGUCU